GAGUUUGAUCAUGGCUCAUCCCUGAACGCUGGCGGCGUGCUUAACACAUGCAAGUCGAACGGGGUCCAUGGAGCUUGCUCCGGAAGACCUAGUGGCGAACGGGUGCGUAACACGUGAGGAACCUACCCCGGACUCUGGGAUAACAGUUGGAAACGACUGCUAAUACCGGAUGUCAUCGCAGCGUCGCAUGGCGCCGCGAUGAAAGGUCCGCCGGUCUGGGAGGGCCUCGCGGCCUAUCAGCUAGUUGGAGAGGUAACGGCUCACCAAGGCAUCGACGGGUAGCUGGUCUGAGAGGAUGAUCAGCCACACUGGGACUGAGACACGGCCCAGACUCCUACGGAGGCAGCAGUGGGGAAUCUUGCACAAUGGGCGAAA
RNAcentral lists this ribosomal RNA (375 nucleotides) under uncultured Actinomycetes bacterium. RNAcentral's name for it is "bacterial SSU rRNA". It matches the Rfam family "Bacterial small subunit ribosomal RNA", at positions 9 to 380 of the family's 1533-position model. Lineage: Bacteria; Bacillati; Actinomycetota; Actinomycetes. The record is from RNAcentral.